ACUUAAGCAUAUCAAUAAGUGGAGGAAAAGAAACCAACAGGGAUUGCCUUAGUAACGGCGAGUGAAGCGGCAAAAGCUCAAAUUUGAAAUCUAGUACCUUCGGUGCUCGAGUUGUAAUUUGAAGAAAGUUUCCUUGGUUAGUCCUUAGCCUAUGUUCCUUGGAAUAGGACAUCAUAGAGGGUGAGAAUCCCGUAUGGCUUUGGAUCCUAUCCUUUGUAGGAAGCUUUCGAAGAGUCGAGUUGUUUGGGAAUGCAGCUCUAAGUGGGUGGUAAAUUCCAUCUAAAGCUAAAUAUUGGCGAGAGACCGAUAGCGAACAAGUACAGUGAUGGAAAGAUGAAAAGAACUCUGAAGAGAGAGUGAAAAAGUACGUGAAAUUGCUGAAAGGGAAGGGCUUUAGGUCAGACUUGGCGUUUAAUGAUUAUCUUCCCUUCUUGGGUUGUGCACUCGUUUUUCGUCGGGCCAAUAUCAGUUCUUGCGAUAGAGCACCUCUUGGAAUGUGACUUCCCUUCGGGGUUGUGUUAUAGCCUUGAGACGAUCUAUUUGCUGGGGACUGAGGACUGCGCUUUUGCUAGGAUAUUGGCGUAAUGACCUUAAGCCGCCCGUCUUG
Molecule: ribosomal RNA, 607 nt
Filed under: Saccharomycopsis vini
Lineage: Eukaryota; Fungi; Ascomycota; Saccharomycetes; Ascoideales; Saccharomycopsidaceae
Description: LSU rRNA
Rfam family: Eukaryotic large subunit ribosomal RNA
Source: RNAcentral